This 467-nucleotide ribosomal RNA is filed under the name uncultured bacterium. RNAcentral's name for it is "partial 16S ribosomal RNA". It matches the Rfam family "Bacterial small subunit ribosomal RNA", at positions 29 to 507 of the family's 1533-position model. The record is from RNAcentral.
ACGAACGCUGGCGGCGUGCUUAACACAUGCAAGUCGCACGGAAAGGCCCUGCUUUUGUGGGGUGCUCGAGUGGCGAACGGGUGAGUAACACGUGAGUAACCUGCCCUUGACUUUGGGAUAACUUCAGGAAACUGGGGCUAAUACCGGCUAGGAGCUCCUGCUGCCUGGUGGGGGUUGGAAAGUUUCGGCGGUUGGGGAUGGACUCGCGGCUUAUCAGCUUGUUGGUGGGGUAGUGGCUUACCAAGGCUUUGACGGGUAGCCGGCCUGAGAGGGUGACCGGCCACAUUGGGACUGAGAUACGGCCCAGACUCCUACGGGAGGCAGCAGUGGGGAAUAUUGCACAAUGGGCGGAAGCCUGAAGCAGCAACGCCGCGUGCGGGAUGACGGCCUUCGGGUUGUAAACCGCUUUCGCCUGUGACGAAGCGUGAGUGACGGUAAUGGGUAAAGAAGCACCGGCUAACUACGUG